Felis catus (domestic cat) is the source of this 6247-nucleotide long non-coding RNA. RefSeq lists it as uncharacterized. NCBI's taxonomy places the organism in Eukaryota, Metazoa, Chordata, Mammalia, Carnivora, Felidae. The transcript has 4 exons. The record is from RefSeq and is a predicted model, not a curated record.
AAUCUAUAGGUGACUACCCAGAAGGCUAAUCCAGGAGCUGCAGGGGCAGGAGCGACGCCCCGUGGAAGCCAGCAGGAGGAAUGAUGGGUUCUGCCUUGAAGGUGGGGCGCCAGCCUUCCCCGAGGAGCUGCCGGGAAGGGUGGCGUUCGGGGGUGUGGGUGCGCGUAUACCAAGCAGAGGGGAAGUCACGUGACUGCCGGCGUAAGCGCACACGGUGCGCUCUGCUUUGACUUCCGGAAGCCCUGCCGGCCAGCAGACCUCUACCAGGGUAAUCGCAGAGCCCCCUCCACGGCCUGGCUAGCUCCAUGAGGACGGUACCCUGGAAGCUGGGUUCGGACCACGUGACGGCCAAGGGCGCACACCUGACGCACACAGGCCUGCUGCUUUCUCUCGCUGUGAUUAGGACGGAGAGACUCAAAGGUGGGAGGUGGGAGCUGAGCCCCACAUGGGGCGGAACAUCAAAGGGAAGAUUCUGAAUCUCCAGCUAUGCACCUGAGCCCUCAGGGUUCUCCUUUCCGAGCCCUAGUUAUUCAACUCUCCUUAGAAUUCUCUGGGAUUAGCCUUCCAAAAUAUUCCUUUUUUCCCCCCUAAAGUGGGUUUUUGUUAUGUACAACCAACAUAACAUUAGCUAGUACUCACUGGCCAAGGUGAAUUUGCAAAGCAAAAAUAAUAUACUUUUCAAAGCCAAUUUCGGACACCUUUGUCUGCAAGUUGAAUUAGCCAAAUUAUGUCUACAUUCCUGCCCUUCUAAAAUUUGCAGUUCUUCCAAGAUCAUCUGCUAAUCUCAGCUUGGACAUGGGCUGGCUUUCAGGAUGGGCCAGCCUGGCAGCUGCCUUGAGACACGAUGGACCAGGGGCUAAGAGGCCUGUGCCAACCACCUGCUCUGCCAGGGGCCAUGCAUCCUGGCGUCAGCAUCAGCGGGGCCUGGUUACCUCCAGAGUCUGGUCUGAGCCUGCCCAGCCAGUGGUUGGGUAGAAGGCAUACAGGAGAAAGAAGCAGGCUGGGUAGGCCUCAUCCCCAUCAGGGUGACCAUCUCUCAGCGAGUGUGACCUAGACCCUGCCAGGACCAGAAUUUGAAGGUCUUGUGUACUCAGGCCCAGUGACAAAGAUCCGGCUGCAUGCUUGUCUCUCCUGCCCUGCUUCUAAGACACAUUUUCUGAAUGCAUUUUAGAAGUUCUUAUUGGUCAGGAGGCAACAUAAGCCUCUACCAUAGAACACAGCAAGAAGCUGGAACGGGAACAUUCCGGGUGCAUUAUAAAUUUAAUUAAUUUGCCUGGGAAUAUCUCAUUGCCUUCUCCCUCAUAUGAAUGAAAUCCACACGAUUUCCAAUCUGUUUCUAUGGUUUCCUUCCUCUGUUCAGAUACAUUAAUUAGCUUGUCAGUUCAUUAUGGACGUGGGUGCCUUUUAUCCCCCUUCAAAUCUGAGUCCAUAUUAAUUUAGUUUUGAUUUCAACAGUGUUUAAAAAUAGAGCAAAAUUAUUUUGACUAGCAUACAAUCAGGCCUGUAGGUGUUUAAGGGGCUUGUCACACUAGUCUAGACUUCAUUGCUUUUCUCUUUCCUGGGAGGGAGAUGUGGCUGUGGUCUCCUGUUUUACUUUGCAGGAAGGGGAGUCGGCCUCAGUUUUCCCUAUCAUACUGAGUUUCACUGAAAACCCUUGACUCUUUGGCCUGCUGGGCAAUCGCGAGCUCUAAAAAUCAUCAGGACUCUCCCGAGGGUAGGCGGAGGCAAAUGUGUCUUCACAAAAAGAAAGAUUGAUUAUGCCUUUUUUAUUUGGUUGUUGAGAAGCAUGAAAACCCAGACUCCCUCAACCUAAGACACGGGGGCCAUCAUUUAAGAUUGUUCCAAAGAGCUGAUGCUCUCAAUCCAGUGCUCCCCUGGGGCUGCUCAGCCACUCCCUAGCUUGAGAGCAGUGGGCACGCUGCUCCCACCAGAGAGACUGCCAUGGGGCUCACCCAGGCACAGGAGGGCCCUUGUGUCUCAGGCUCUUUGCUUUGUCUUACUCCCAGGACAGAAGUGCCCUAACCUGGCCGUACUUUUGAAUCACCUGUCCUCGUAGAAAGUAGACGCCUGGGCCCCCGGCCAGCCCACAUGAAUCAGAAUCUCUGGGGGUGGGGUCCAGUUGUUGGUGUUUGUAAAUACCUAAUGGGCAGCUGAGUCCAAGGAGCAUUGGCCUCUCAAAGUCCUGGUAAAAAGUGGUGUCAUGGGUUGAGCUGUGUCCCUCCCCAAAAGAUAUGUUGGAGUCCUACACCCCGGUGUCUCAGCACGUGACCUUAUCUGGAGCUAGGGUCUUGGCAGAAGUAGUGAAGUAAAGAGAAGGUCAGUAUGGUGGUCCUUAAUCUAAUCUGACUGGUGUCCUUACUACAAGGGGAGAGGUUAGGGACGGCACACACGGGGAGAACACCAUGUGGAGAUGAAGGCAGAGAUCAGGGUGAUGCUUCCACCAGCCACGGAAUGUGAGGGUUGCAGGCAAACCCCAGGAGCUGAGAGAGAGGCAGGCUGCGAAUACCUCCUCCCAGCUCUGUGAAGGAAGCCGCCUUGCCUAUAGCUUGAUCUCAGCCUCCUGGCCUCCAUGACCGUGAGAUAACAUAUUUCUGUGAUUCCAAUUCACCCAGUUGUGGUACUUUGUUAUGGCGGUGGCAGGAAUCGAAGACACAGGAACCUCACCUUCUGUUUGGAGGGGCCCAGCCCUGCCGGGAGCUGCUUUUGGAAUCGCAUUCUAAACCAGGUGGCAUCCCUCACAGACACUGUCCCGCAAAACUGAGAUCAUCUGUGAUCUGUUUGCCAAAACAUCCAGGUAGACAGUAGGAAACUCAGUUUGCCAUCGAUCUGUUUGUUUUAUAUGUUGGGGAUAGAAGCAAUGUAGGCUCUGGAGUUUUCACUUCUUACCUGAUUUUGCCAUUAGCGCUUCACGCCUGCCUCCCCCAACCCCCGUCAGCUGGAGUAACUGAGGUGAGGCACCUGUGAACCUGGCCCCACCUGGUUCUGAAGCCAGUGUUGGCCGGGCCAAUAAAUAGGAAGAUUCCUCUCCCUCCCCAAGAGGGUGUGGUCUCAAGUUUGUCUCGCUACUGGGAGCUUGGCCGUGUUGCUAGCCUGAACCCUCAUUUACUGAGGGCAGUGGGACGUAGAGCUGAAGACAGGAACCUGGGCGCCUUUGCUGGUUUCCGCCUGCUGACUGGGAUCUUGGGCUGCUGCUCUCUCUCUCCAAGCCUCUCAUUUCUCAUCUACAAAACAAAGGUCAGCUGCCCGAGGCCUCAACAGACGGUGUGAGCAAACUGCCUGCCUCGGGACACUGGCAUGUAACCAACAUCAGGACUUUGGGAAACAACAGACUACACAAGUAUAACUGUUUUCUAUUUUGAACCCUCUUAGACCUUCAUCUUUUCAUUCUCUGUAGAGGAGGAAGGAGAAAGCAAAAACCCAUCUGAUUACAGAAACUGAAAAAUGGAUCUAAAUCCACAUGGCUCUCUUGGUGCCGUUACAGGCAAAAUAGUGAAUUUCAAAAUGAGGUUUGCAUACAGGCCUCCGAUGUAUCCGUACCCGUGUUCCGCAUCUCCGCUUUACUGGGACCACAGUGGAUACCCCAAGCCCUAGAGAACACCAGGUGGAUGCUCUCAGUUCUGACUGCUUCUCAGGACCAAAUGGGGUCUUGUUCUUCAUUUCUGGGUCCUUCUGAUGUUCAUAGUCCCCAGCCUCUGUCUUCUGGACCCUUCCCUAGGAAUUUUCCAGCAACUUAGCCUGAAACAACUCUAUUUCUUCCAUUGCUUUGAGUUGCCUUGUGGAUCGAGAGGUGAUGGAGGACAGGAGAGGUGAGUAGAGCGGAAGAACCCUUUGCAUCUGAACUGGAGGGAAAUGCAGGCUAGAGCAAAACCUAGUGAGCUGCUAGAACAAAAAGGAGCUGGGGAGGGGCAAAGGCACGGAACGCCUGUGGUGGGCUGGUUUGAGAGGGCUUCUCUGAAGAGAAUCAUGAUGUGGUGUGAGACCCACACCUGGGAACAAUGGCCGAAACUUGUGCAAAAUUACACAUUGGCCAAAAUGGUGAAUUAGCAAAAAUGAAUUUGCCCUUUUCCCUUUCAGAUGUCAAUUUUAUUUUGCCACAGGGGCAGUGAGCAAUAUUUCAUGGGUUAUUAAGCACUGCCCUAUUAGAAUGUUGACCAUUUUGAAUAGUUUUGGAUUUUGUUUUUAUUAUUUAAAAAAAUUUAUUAAUCUUGAGAGAGACCUAGAUGGCAUGAGUUGGGGGGCAGGGAGCAGACAGAGAGGGGGAGAGAAAGAAUCCCAAGCAGCCUCUGCCCAUCAGCACAGAACCUGACAUAGGGCUCGAUCCCAUGAAACUGUGAGAUCAGGACCUGAGCCAAAACCAAGAGUUGGAUGCUUAACCGACUGAGCCCCCAGGUGCUCCAGAUUUUGUUUUUAUAAUGUCUUAUUUCUAGUACAAUGUCAGGCAAUUGUGACUCUUAAUUGCUAGUCAGCGUUUUCACGAAUUCUUAAAAUACUGUAUUUUUGCUGUUAGGGAAUUCUCCAUCUGGAAAAAAAAAUUAAAAACUGCUUCUGAUCACCUCAGGUUUUCAUAGCAUCUGUAGAACUCUUGAAUGGACAUAAAAGCAUUUUUUCCCAUUUUCUAAGUGGAUAUUGUUUUAAACAGUUGGUCAAUUUUUAAUAGGGUGAUAGCUAUCCCAGGUUGUCUGGGAGUGAGCAUUUUUCCCAGGACGUGGGACUUUUCAUGCUAACACUGGGAGAGUCCUGGAAAACAGAUGGUAGUCACCCUAGGUAGCAAUGGUUGCUGGGGCAGAGAUGGCCAGCUUGCCCCCAAACAUUCCAAUUUUCCUCUCACAGUGUCACAUUUUUGCCCAGCCAGGGACACAUCCCCAGCCUCCCUUGCAUUCAGGGGCUGCCCCUUGACUGCUUCUCCUCAAUGGCUGUAAUGUGAGCACAGGUGAUGUGGAAACAAGUGCUCCUCCACCUUCUUCUAUAUUCCCUGGAUGUUGACACCCAGGGCAACCUUGGAAAUGUCACAUAUUGAAGACGGCAGAGCCACUGUUGACCUGAUUAGUGACUGACUACGUGAGGCCAAUGCCCCUUCCACCCACCUUGCCACCCUUGCCGUGGGGCUUUGUAUAAGCCAGACACCGUUUCUAUUGGGUUAAGCCAGUGAGGUAUCAUGAUUCCAGCAAUUGGUGUUAUCAUAAUUUAUACAGUUCUCCAAGCCUUUUGGGGUGUAUUUUUUUUUAACAUUUUGAUUACAUGUUCUUUAAAAAAAAAUCCUUAAACUAACCCCUUCCCGUAUAAAAAAAAAGUUGACCCAUUUCUCCUACCUCCCACCCCCUGCCUCUGACAACCUCCAAUCUGUUCUCUGUAUCAAUGCGUUUGGCUACUGAUUUCAAUUCCACAUAUUAGGGAGAUCAUACAGUAUUUGUCUAUCUGUUUGACUUCCUUUGCUUAGCAUAAUGAGGUCCAUACAUGUCACGAAUGGCAAGAUUAUGGCUGAAUAAUAUUCCCUUGUGUGUGUAUGUGUGUGUACAUGCAUGUGUGUACACGAAUGUGUGUUUAGAUACAUAUACACAUGGAUACACUUACUGCACACAUCCAUCUAUUCAUUCAUUCAUUCAUUGGUGGACACUUAGGUUGUUUCCAUAUCUUGGCUACUGUGAAUAAUACUUCAAUAAACAUGGGGUUGCAUAUAUAUUUUUGAGUUUUGUGGGGUUUUUAAGAUAAAUACCUAGGAGUGGAAUUGCUAGAUCAUAUGGUAGUUUCAUUUUUCAAUUUUUGAGGAACCUCCAUACUGUUUUCCAUAAUGGCUGCACUGAUUUACGUUCCUACCAACCUUUUCUCCACUUCCUCAUCAACUCUUGUUAUUUCUAGCCUUUUUGAUAAUAACCAUUCUAACAGGUGUGAGGUGAUAUCACUGUGGUUUUGAUGUGCAUUUCCUUGAUUAAUGAUGCAGAGCCUCUUUUCGUGUACCUGUUGGCCAUCUGUAUGUAUUCAUUGGAAAAAUGUCUCUUCAGAUCUGCCCAUUUUAAUUGGAUUUUUGUGUGUGUGUGAUGGAGUUUUAGGAGUUAUGUAUUUUGGAUAUUAGCCCCUUAUCAGAUAUGAUUUGCAAAUAUUUUCUCCCACUUAGUAGGUUGCUUCUUUUGUUUCAUCAGUUUCUUUUGCUGUGCAGAAGCUUUUUAGUUUGACAUAGUCCUGCUUAUUUUUGUUUUUGUUGCUUUUGCUUUGGGCAUCAGAUUAAAAAAAAAAUCAUUGCCUAGACCUA